Molecule: ribosomal RNA, 253 nt
Filed under: uncultured bacterium
Lineage: Bacteria
Description: partial 16S ribosomal RNA
Rfam family: Bacterial small subunit ribosomal RNA
Source: RNAcentral
UACGAAGGGGGCUAGCGUUGCUCGGAAUCACUGGGCGUAAAGCGCACGUAGGCGGAUCGUUAAGUCAGGGGUGAAAUCCUGGAGCUCAACUCCAGAACUGCCUUUGAUACUGGCGAUCUUGAGUUCGGGAGAGGUGAGUGGAACUGCGAGUGUAGAGGUGAAAUUCGUAGAUAUUCGCAAGAACACCAGUGGCGAAGGCGGCUCACUGGCCCGAUACUGACGCUGAGGUGCGAAAGCGUGGGUAGCGAACAGG